GAUUUGGGGAAAUGGAUAUGUUUGGUAGUGCUUAGAGGAUGCAGCCUGCCACAGGAGAAGCUCACGCGGAGGUGGAGGCCAAGGUGUGUGCGGCAGCCGUCUGGACAUCUGUGCGAUCGACGCCGACGUUGGAAGAGUCAUAGAGCGUGUUCUUCUUCGGAUGAGCCACUUCCAGAGAGUCAUCCUAAGAGACCAUCACACCACACACAUAUCUCACCUAUGAACGCAGUCGGAGCCCCCGAAGCGCUAUGGGGCCGUCCUGUCCUUGACCUAUGGGUGCUGGGGUUGUGUGCCGCGUGCCCUCCGUCGCUGGCCCACGUGGAGGAGGUGGGCGGAGGCAGUUUCAAUUGUGAGUUUAUUUACACGUGGGGCUCACCUGUGUUUCUGUGUUUUCAAAGCUUUUGCUUAAAACUCUUUUUUUUUUUUUAACUUUUAGAAGGGAAAAUUGAAAACCUUCCAAAAUUAAAAUGAAGAAAUAGAAUGUGCCGGGUGGAUAUCUCUCCAGUUUGAAGGCUAAUUGCAAAAUAGACGUUUGGACUUUGAGCUCCUAGUUAUCUGCUCGCAUCCCAUCUUAUAAAGAUAAAAACCGGUCUGUGAAAUCUUUGUAAAAAUAUAUGAAACAAAUGGUGGAACAUGUGGAGGAAAUAAUUUAAAAAAUGAAAAUUUCCCUGCAAUCCAACGAAUCAGCUAUUUUUAGAAACGCCUAAUGCUCCGUGUCACUACGGAGCCAAUCAAAAUCAGGUUUUUAGUUUUCGAAACAAUAAAACGUUGCACGCUGUUUACAAGAAAGGAAUGUGAAGUUGAUAAAUCUGACUUCGGUUCUGUGACUGACUCACUAUGAAAUAAGGAAGUGCGCGUAAAUUAUUAUUUUUUUUUCGAAUUAUCUUUAGGAGAGACACUUACCCUGUGAACAACCUACUGAAGACCUUUAUGAGCGUGAAAACGUAGGGAGGGACCGGCCUGUUAGCCUUUUCAACUUUAUUCUAAUUCCUUCAUCAAUUCUUGUUUUUGCUUAUCUUGAUCCAGAAAAGAAGUGACUGGGCUCUGAUUUCCAGAGACGAUUCACCGGUGGACAGCUCAGCACCAUCCCCUGCCAGUGGGCUGGGUGUCCACCCUGCAGGGAGGGAGGGGGCCCUGGCCGAGCUCCUUGAACGGCACGGGGCGGUGGGGGGGUGGCACAGCGGGACGGGGCCAAGGUCUCUCCCUCCAGGGAUAGGAAGGAGGCUGACACUUUUGUAUUUAGCAGAAGAUAACUUCUGCUAUGUUUUAAAUCUCAUAUGUUAGUGUUUUUGAUUUUCUUUUAAUCUGCAUGUCUUAUAACUUCCCAAGGCAUUUUAAGGAGCCAACACUAAGAGUUAUUUUUGGGGAAAAAAAAAAAAUCCAAUAUUUUACAUUUUCUCGCCAUGACAUCAGAUUAGGGCUUUGUCAUGACAACGCAAAUUCCAGAGUUUGAGAUUCCUUCCUCUCCUGGAGGUGAGAGAGUGGCAACAGAUGUGGAGUCUACGUGGAGUCUAGUCUAGAGUCUCCUUCCCUCUCCCUAAAGCCUUCUUGAUGAAGCCCAAACGAGAUCCACACAUACUCUUCCGUUUACAAACAUCUGCUUAUAAAUACUUAACUCCUAUAGAUGUUCAUAAAUCCAUAAUUUAGGAAAAAUAUAGGAAAGAGAAACAUUUCUGAAAAAGAUAGUGAACUCUCUUCUACCGUCUGGAUUCUCUAAGAUAUAUAAUGUAUAAUUUCAUCAAUAUGAUACAAAUUAUAUGUGACAUACUA
This 1770-nucleotide long non-coding RNA is filed under the name Canis lupus familiaris (dog). RNAcentral describes it as "lncRNA (ENSCAFG00040014295.1)". Lineage: Eukaryota; Metazoa; Chordata; Mammalia; Carnivora; Canidae. The record is from RNAcentral.